This 2432-nucleotide long non-coding RNA is filed under the name Taeniopygia guttata (zebra finch). RNAcentral describes it as "lncRNA (ENSTGUG00000028747.1)". Lineage: Eukaryota; Metazoa; Chordata; Aves; Passeriformes; Estrildidae. The record is from RNAcentral.
CCCCGUCAUGGCCGCUGUCGCGACAGCGCGAUCGCGACUCAGCGCCGUGGCCGCGGACGAGGGAGGGCCCCGCCGCCAUCCCCUCCCUCCUGCGCUCGGUGUCGGCGCUGGGAGCCAAGGCCAGGAGCUGCCAGAGGAGAGGAAGGGGGCGUGGUGGGUCAGUGCAGGACCCAAAAUGAGAGAAACCCCUGAGAAGCCAAGGGGUUGAGGCAGAAUUGAUCCUGGGUGGGUCGCUGCUUGAUUUCUCAAGGAAAAGAAGGAAAAUGAAGAGUGCCAGCCAUAUGUGGAAAAAGGGGAUUACCUUGGUCCAGGUGAAGAAUCCGGCUGGCUCGCCGGGAUCCGAAGCAGUUGCUGGCGAUGGUUUCGCUGUCGCUGUAGUCCUCCUCGGGCUGCAGGUGGCAAACGCUGUCAGCAGCGCCAGCAAUAAGGCAAAAUGGGUAAAAUGGGAUAGAAAUGGAGGAGGAAUUUGCCGUACCGCUGACUCCCUGCUCUCAUUCGAGGGGCUUGUCCGGCCAGGUUUGGGCUGUGGCAGGGCUGGAGCUGCCGUGGGAAGAGAUGGCGUUAAGGGUUGUUGUGUGUAGAACAAUCACCACUCUGCUGGCUGCACUCCUUGCUCAGAUUCCCGAGGGAUCCGCAGCACAUGCCACCUUUGUUGCUCACACUUUCCAGACAACUUUGGAAGUUGGAGUGCCCACCAUCAUCACUUCUAUGUCUCCCCCAGCGCCCUCCCCUUACCUGCGGGCAGCUGGGUUCUUUGAAUGACAGGCUCUGGAAUUUUCCAGCAGCCGCUCUCCUUGUCCCACAGGCCUGAUCGUCUCCAGGUUGCUGUAGUUGCAGGCACGCUGCACCUGACCCAGCAGCUGCUGGCAGAGCAGCAGGUCUCGCUCCUGGUGCCGGAUGGUGCUCAGGUUAUCCAUCUUCUCCAGCCCAAACUCCAACUGCAGGUCUUUGAUCUCCAUCUCGGCAGCCCAGAGCUGGAUACAAACCAUCAGGGUUAUAAGGCAGAGAGACCAAUGCAUACCACAAGGAAUUCGCCAAGCAGAGAAAGAUACUCAGGAAAGCUUUAAUAUUUGAAAAGUUUUCUAAUUUAGGUACAAAUUAGGAUUAAAUUUAUUUUGAGAGAUUACUCCAUGUCUGUUUUAAAGGAAGUUUUCUCAUGUUUCUCCACAGGGAUGAUUUUUGAAUGAACCUGAAGCUAAUCUUACUGAUGUGGUCUUUGAACUCCUGGAAUUUCCUAACUUUGGUUUAAAAAGGUGCAAUAUUUCUUUGAUAACCUAAAUACUCAAAUAAAGCAAGUCCUUCAUGUGCAGGUCUAGGACUGUACACAAAAAUGUAAGUUUUUUUUUGCAGGCACACUGAUUCUGUCACAAAAUAUCAGAGCAAAACUGAUUUUUAAGUGCUUUGAAAAUGAAGAUUUUUAAAUGUAAAAUUUAAGAGCAUUACUUUUAUGCUUUGUUUUUUGCCCCAGAGAGCGUGCUCAGAACUGGAAGCAGCUGCAGCAGAUCUGGAGGUCGGCAGAGGGAGUCGCAUCCCCUCCCAUCCCAACACAUGCUCCUCCCGGCAAGUGUCACACACUGAGCCUUUACAACUUGGGGGGUUUGGGCUUCAAAAGCUUAAUCCCCCACCUGAGGGGUUUCAUAAAAGCUCACACACAAUGUGGUGUAUGAAAUACUGACACAGCCAGAGGCACUCUCUAAACUACAGCUCUGUAAUGUAAAAAAUGGGGAUGUGGAGGAGGAAGGAGUUGCUCUCUCACCUUCUCCUGCACCUUGCCCUUGGCUUGAACCUCCUCCUGGAUGGAGUCCUGGACAUUGAGGAGAGCCUGCUUGCUGCUGUCCUCGAGGGAUUGCUGCAGGGCAGCCACCAGCUGCAGCCUCCCGCGUAUUUCCUCCGGCGUUUGUGCUUUUCCUUCAGGUCCUUGUUCUCAGCCUGCUCCCCCCUGACCACCUGCUGCUCCAGCACCUGCAGAAGGGAACACUGAGCUCAAGAACCAGCUUCACAAGCAUGGAGGAUGCACGUCCUUCCACGGGUGACAUUUGGGAAGACACAGAAAAUUGAGGAUUAUGAUAAGAUUUUCUGCCCUGAGUAAUCAUAGCAAAUCCUACUUAUUAUUAACAGUUUCUGUCAUAAAAAGAAUUCCAGAAUGGUUUGGGUUGGGAAGCACCUUAAAGUCCAUCUCAUCCCACCCCUGCCAUGGGCAGGGCCACCUCCUGCUCUCCCAGGUUGCUCCAACCCUCUCCAACGUGGCCUUGGACACUUGCAGGGAUCACGGGGCAGCCACAGCUUCUCUGGGCAAAAUACACAUGUAUUACUCCAAGCACCUCAGUCAACAAGGAUGUCCAGAAAUCCGUAUCUAAGCUCACAAAAUUAUCUUUAAAACUCUUGUUUUGUGUACUUUAUAUUUAAAUUCUUAUUUAAAUAAACAUGGAAUA